Molecule: ribosomal RNA, 459 nt
Filed under: uncultured bacterium
Lineage: Bacteria
Description: partial 16S ribosomal RNA
Rfam family: Bacterial small subunit ribosomal RNA
Source: RNAcentral
CCUACGGGGGGCAGCAGUGAGGAAUAUUGGUCAAUGGGCGGGAGCCUGAACCAGCCAAGCCGCGUGAGGGAAGAAGGUCCAGCGUAUCGUAAACCUCUUUUGUCAGGGAACAAAGGCGGGGACUAGUCCCCGGCUGAGGGUACCUGAAGAACAAGCAUCGGCUAACUCCGUGCCAGCAGCCGCGGUAAUACGGAGGAUGCGAGCGUUAUCCGGAUUUAUUGGGUUUAAGGGGUGCGCAGGGGGCCUGUUAAGUCAGCGGUAAAAGCCCGGGGCUCAACCCCGGCGAGCCGUUGAAACUGGCGGGCUGGAGUUGGAGAGAAGUACGCGGAAUACGCGGUGUAGCGGUGAAAUGCUUAGAUAUCGCGCAGAACCCCGAUUGCGAAGGCAGCGUACCGGCUCCACACUGACGCUGAGGCACGAAAGCGUGGGUAUCGAACAGGAUUAGAUACCCGGGUAGUC